UACGUAGGGGGCGAGCGUUGUCCGGAUUUAUUGGGCGUAAAGAGCUCGUAGGCGGCUUAGCAAGUCGGGUGUGAAAACUCCAGGCUCAACCUGGAGACGCCACUCGAGACUGCUAUGGCUAGAGUCCGGUAGGGGACCACGGAAUUCCUGGUGUAGCGGUGAAAUGCGCAGAUAUCAGGAGGAACACCCGGUGGCGAAGGCGGUGGUCUGGGCCGGCACUGACGCUGAGGCGCGAAAGCCAGGGGAGCAAACGGG
Molecule: ribosomal RNA, 255 nt
Filed under: uncultured bacterium
Lineage: Bacteria
Description: partial 16S ribosomal RNA
Rfam family: Bacterial small subunit ribosomal RNA
Source: RNAcentral